CUGGGGACCGGCCGCGCAGGUGACAAUGGAAUUUGUAGAUGGUUAAAGAAAAUGCUUUGUUUGCUGGAGUACUACAGUAAUCUUGAAAUGUCGUCACAGAACAUAAAUGUCUGGACACCUAAUCCGAACCUCUCCUAAUUGUUUGGAAGAUAUUUGGAAGAAGUUUAUAAAGCUGAGUUUUCUUACACAGGCAUUCACAAAUAAGAGGUCUGAACUGUGAUCACAGAAAGAAACUGGAAGCAUAUUUUAAGGGGUAAGAGACUAUUUCAUAUAGAUUAGUUAUUUUUCUUGUUACAAUAUGUGCACUAGUGUUACAAUUAAGAUGACAUAAUCUAAUUUACCAAGCAGUACAUUGAAGUACUUUGUUUACUGCUCUAUUCCCUCAUGGUACAGCUAUACCUCCAUUCCCCUGUAAAGUUUUGAACUGUUUCAUCUUUUGUACUGAAAAAUUU
Long non-coding RNA from Chiroxiphia lanceolata (lance-tailed manakin), 452 nucleotides. RefSeq lists it as uncharacterized. NCBI's taxonomy places the organism in Eukaryota, Metazoa, Chordata, Aves, Passeriformes, Pipridae. The transcript is spliced from 3 exons. The record is from RefSeq and is a predicted model, not a curated record.